RNAcentral lists this ribosomal RNA (1415 nucleotides) under Trachelomonas pertyi. RNAcentral describes it as "bacterial SSU rRNA". It matches the Rfam family "Bacterial small subunit ribosomal RNA". The record is from RNAcentral. Lineage: Eukaryota; Euglenozoa; Euglenophyceae; Euglenales; Euglenaceae.
UGCUCAGGAUGAACGCUGGCGGUAUGCUUAACACAUGCAAGUCUAACGGUUAGUUUGGCCGUGGCGGACGGGUGAGUAAUAUGUAAGAAUCUGCGUUUAGGUGGGGGAUAAUGUACGGAAGCGUUCAGUAAUACCCCAUAAUGCUAUUAAGUUAAAGAAUUUCGCCUGGACAUGAGCUUACAUCUGAUUAGCUAGUUGGUGGGGUAAGGGCUUACCAAGGCGAUGAUCAGUAGUUGAUUUGAGAGGAUGAUCAACCACACUGGGACUGAGAUACGGAACAGACUCCUACGGGAGGCAGCAGUGGGGAAUAUUGCACAAUGAGCGAGGAGCUUGAUGCAGCAAUACCGCGUGGGGGAUGAAGGUUUUAGAAUUGUAAACUCCUUUUCUCAAAGAAGAAUGUUUGACUGUAUUUGAGGAAUAAGCAUCGGCCAAUUCUGUGCCAGCAGCCGCGGUAAUACAGGAGAUGCGAGCGUUAUUCGGAAUUAUUGGGCGUAAAGGGUGCGUAGGUGGUUAAACAUGUUCAAUAUUAAAUUUUAAAGCUUAACUUUAAGUUCGUAUUGAAAACUGUUUGGCUAGAGUACAAUAGAGGUAAAGGGAAUUUCCAGUGUAGCGGUGAAAUGCGUAGAUAUUGGAAAGAACACCGGUGGCGAAGGCGCUUUACUAGGUUGCUACUGACGCUGAGGCACGAAAGCUAGGGGAGCGAAUAGGAUUAGAUACCCUCGUAGUCUUAGCUGUAAACGAUGGAUACUAAGUGGUGUUGUUGCACUGCUAAAGUUAACGCGUUAAGUAUCCCGCCUGGGGAGUACGCUUGCAAAAGUGAAACUCAAAGGAAUUGACGGGGGCUCGCACAAGCGGUGGAGCAUGCGGUUUAAUUCGAUGGUACCCGAAGAAUCUUACCAGAAUUUGACAUGCCAAUAUACUUCUGAAUGGGAGUGUGCUUUUAAUUAAGAUGUUGGACACAGGUGGUGCAUGGCUGUCAAAAGUUCGUGUAGUGAUAUAUCUAGUUAAGUCUAGUAACGGACGCAACCCUCUUUUUUAGUUGUUUUUUUAAUAUCUAGAAAUACUGCCGGUUAUAAAUCGGAGGAAGGUGAGGAUGAGGUCAAGUCAUCAUGCCCCUUAUAUUCUGGGCUACACGCGUGCUACAAUGAUUAAGACAACGAGUUGCCACUUUGUGAGAAGGAGCUAAUCUCUUAAACUUAGUCUUAGUUCGGAUGGUAGGCUGAAACUCGCCUACCUCAAGUUGGAAUCGCUAGUAAUCGUCGAUCAGCUAUGCGGCGGUGAAUUCGUUCUCGAGCCUUGUCCACACCGCCCGUCACACCAUGGAAGUUGGCUAUGCCUGACGGCAAACUCUUAUUUUUAGAAUUGUCUAUGGCCGGGUUAAUAACUGGGGUGAAGUCGUAACAAGGUAGCCGUCU